UGGACCGCACACAAGUCUGUUGGAAUACAGCGGCACAGUGGUGAGACCCCCGUUCAUGGUGCGGAUGCCCAAUGCUUUGUGAUACAUUUUCGAAGAGUCGAGUUGUUUGGGAAUGCAGCUCAAAUUGGGUGGUAAAUUCCAUCUAAAGCUAAAUAUUGGCGAGAGACCGAUAGCGAACAAGUACCGUGAGGGAAAGAUGAAAAGCACUUUGGAAAGAGAGUUAAAAGUACGUGAAAUUGUCGAAAGGGAAG
RNAcentral lists this ribosomal RNA (251 nucleotides) under Scrippsiella hangoei. RNAcentral describes it as "partial Eukaryotic large subunit ribosomal RNA". It matches the Rfam family "Eukaryotic large subunit ribosomal RNA", at positions 171 to 419 of the family's 3401-position model. Lineage: Eukaryota; Dinophyceae; Peridiniales; Peridiniaceae. The record is from RNAcentral.